This is a non-coding RNA of Callithrix jacchus (white-tufted-ear marmoset), 4348 nucleotides long. The record is from RefSeq and is a predicted model, not a curated record. Lineage: Eukaryota; Metazoa; Chordata; Mammalia; Primates; Cebidae.
AAUAAGGAAAAGAUACAUAGUUUAGUUUUAGUCUUUAUGUAUUCUAUUUCUUUUGAAUGGCAAUCAAUCGCUCCUUUUUUUCCAGUUGUCUUGUAAAUUUGACCCUUAGCCCCAUGGGAAACUGAAAAAAUAUCAGACGGCUCAGUAAAAUUUAUUCCCUUUAUUUUAAAUAUAACUCACAGAAUCUUUUCCCAUGUUUGUUGAUGAUAAAUUUACUGUCAUGUCAUCUCAGUAGGACUAUAACGUCAUGCUGAAGAUAUGUCUGUGAAGAGUUUUGUACUGAGAACGUCACACCAGGACAACGCCUCGAAGGGCAUUGAUUGCAACCUUGGGAUUUAUACUCCCAAAGGUCCCAGUCAAGGAAAGAGUAUCUCAUUAUUCUUUUUGUUUUCAUAAAGCUACCAUUUACACUGGGAUAAAGGGUCCAUCCCCUGAUACCUUGAAUGCCCUGAAGUAUUCCCACAUUCUGCUAAAAAGCAAAUCUUUUGGACAAACUCAGGCUCUCUUUUCUGUAGCAAUGACAAUCAGUUAUUUCCAGACUGUUCUCCCUAGUUAGAUUUAAACACUGGCAAAAAUGUCAUAAGAAGGCAAUCAGAUUGAUGUUUUUAGGUUGUAUAAAGAGAGCCUUUUCAUCAGUUUAUACAUGAUGAGGUCGUAGACCAUGAAGAGAGGGACGGAACAUGGACAAACACAGGAAGACUCACAAUAAUUGAAAAUGACAAAAGGCCAAAGGGACACCAUGUAUCGUCAGAGGGAGGAUGAAGCCUUCAAGGGAUGUAGGGAGUUGACUGCAGGUCCUGGAGAAGCUGAUGGAGGCCAAGUCAAUGUUGCAAGGAGACAUGAGACUCACAUCAGAGUUCUAUGGUUUCACCUGGGAGAUGGUGUCUGGCCCCUCUGCUGUAGGACUGCUGACGUCUACUCCCAGCUCUGAUUGCCUGGGGAUCACCUGCAGCAGCUGCAGAACAGUAAGGAUUGCUACCAGUUUUUUCUUCUGCUAUUUUUGUGCCAGAGUGAUGCCCACCAAAUGUCAGUCUGAUCAGUCCUUUGUGAGGUGACUGUUUGGAUAUACCGGGGUCAGGGAGCUGAUUGAGGAGACAGUCCAUCCCUUAUAGGAGCUCGAGUGCUGAGCUGUGAGCUCCAUUAUUGAGAGCUGCUGGGCAGGUAUGUUUAAGUCUGCUGCAGCAGAACUCAUAAACCCCCUUUUUUCCCCUGAGGUGCUCUGUCCUGGGGAGUUAGGGCUUUAUUUAUGAGUUUCCAUUGUGCUGCUGCCUUUUUUUCAGGGCUGCCCUGCCCAGCAAGGAGGCAGCCUAGUCACUGUCUGCCUGCAGAGGCUUUGCUGAGCUGUUGUGGGCUCUGCCCAGCUGCUGUGUGAACAUCCCUGCAUUCCUGUUUAUAUGGGUGUGGUUAGAAUUGCCUUGGCAAUGGUGACCCACCUCUGUAAUGGUGGACUGUCUCUGUUAUGGCCAGUUGCCUGGGCAAUGGUGGGCUGCUUCAGCCAUGGCAGACUACCUCUGUAGGGCUGGAGUGCCUCGGUAAUGGUGGACACCCCUCACCCACACAGCUGGAUUGUCCCAGGUUCACCUGUGCUUGUCGUGAAACUCUCAAUUUAGAGCGUUUCCCAUUGCUGUUUUUGUGUGUUGGGGGGGGUGGGACCCACCAAGCCUGAUCACCUGGCUCCCUGCCUCAGAGCCUUUUUUUUUUUUUUUUUAGGUUGAAUGGUUGACUCUCUCCCAGGUUUUUCAGUCACCUGCUGACAAGGUGCCGGGAUCUGUGUGAUUUCCUGUGCAGUGACCCACUGUGCCAGCUGAAACAAUGGUGCUGCCCUGGAAUCUCCUGGCCUGGCUCCCUGUUUUUGUCCCCUGUUUAAUCAGAUGAAUGGCUGACUCUGCCUUCCCAGAGCUCCAAUUGCUGGCUUAAAAGGUCUGCCAGACCAGUGUAUUUUGUAUGGAGAACCGCUGCACCAGAGCACCAGCAAAAUAGCCGUGCUGGCCAAAAUAGCCAUGCUGGCAUCCUGUGGGGCUUCUCUGCCUGUGAAUCUCCUGGUCUGUGGGCAGUAAAGAUCCAGCUGGAAAUAUGGCAUCCACUCACCCUCUGUGCUUUCACUGGGAGCUGCAAUCCUGAGCUGGUCCUAAACUGCUAUCUUGGAUCUUCCCCCUACCAGGUUUUUUUGAAGUUUUUGCUCAGAUAUCUUUUCAGACAACCUUUUCCUGAUCAUAAAGACAGAGCUUAGGCAAUGCUGAUUUCAUGCCUUCAUUGGAGCUCAAGACAUACUGCUUUGCAAUUUGUCUACUUUCUUGUCUGUCAUUUUUCAGUACAGCAAAUUCUCUUGACCAUAGAAAAUGUUGUGAAUAUUGUUCACCUUUAUAUGUGACUAAGAAGUACCUAGCCUAAUAGCUAUGCAUACUGCUUCUGUUUGCUCCUGAGAUAUUUACUGAGUGCUUGCCAUGGCCAAAUAUUGUGCUAGAACCAGGCCUACAAUGGGGACAGAUCCUAUCUUUAAGAAGCCUUCUAGUGAUGGAUAUGGAUAAACAGCCAAUAAAAAUAGAGUGUAAUAAAAGAGGAGUUUACUUAAUUUUUUUUUUAAUAUUUAGAAAAGGCCAGAGAAAACUUCUGGAGGAAAAAGUAAAUUUAAAAUAAUACAUAGGUAUCUAUGAGAUCUUGAGAAUAUUGCUUUAAUUUUUUCCAAAAACAGAACCUGAGGAAAGGAUUUGUGUGUAAGUAAUUUAUUUGGGAGGUGCUCCCAGGAGGAAGAAUUAUGAGUGAGGAGAGUGAGGGAGGAAUGGAAGAAAAGCCAGGAAAAGGUGUAGUGUUGAACUGCAUACUUCUGUUGGCAAAUGGGAGGUAGAGCACCCUUUAUAUUUUCCUUUUGUAAUUCCAGAGAUUGGAGCAUUUAUCUACUGACUGACUCUUCUGCUGGAGGAGAGUCACUUCCAGAGACAUCAACCCCCUUAUAUUUCUGGCUGCCUUGGCUUCAGAAACAAUUCAAGCCAGAUAGUGGGGGAAUACGUGUAGAGGGAGAGAGGGGGUUGUGGGAACUGUCCAGCAGAGCUUUGGCUGAAAUCACUUCAAGCUGACCAUGUGCAAUACUGAGGGCCUUGGCCAUCUCCCCAUUAAGUUAAAAAAAUACACUGCCUUGGGAGGCUAAGUCGGGUGGGUCACGAGGUCAGGAGUUCAAGACCAGACUGGCCAACAUAGUGAAACCCCAUCGGUACUAAACAUACAAAAAUUAGCAGGGCAUGGUGGUGUUUGCCUGUAGUCCCAGCUACUCAGGAGGCUGAGGCAGGAGAAUUGCUUGAACCUGGGAGGUGGAGGUUGCAGUGGGCCGAUAUUGCUUCACUGCUCUCCAGCCUGGCAACAAAGCGAGGCUCUGUCUCAAAAAAAGUACCUUGCCCCUAAAACUCAUGGGCAGACUUUCUCGGUUUAGGACAUCUUAAGAGCUAUGAAAACUGUCUUAGAAAUUCCUGCAGGCUCCCACAACUGUGAACUGUCAGGGCUCAGUGUGGGUUCCUUCGGUAAUUACCUGGCAAUUAUAAUUGGGAAAUAAAGCACUGGUAAAAUAAAUGUAUAAUAUAUUCAUGGAAUGUGUUUCAUUUAAACUUUCAGAAUAGGCUCUAGGACUUAGAAACUAAAACGUGUUUUAUAUUCUCUCAAAGCCUGAUUUAUCUCUGCCUCUUACCAUGCCUUAUCAAAUCAUUGGCUCCCUGAGAAAGCAACUGAUAUUGUUUCCUGAAAAUAUAACCACUCUUUACAUAGCAGGAGAACAAGUAGUCUAAGGGGAAAAAAGAAUAGGAUGCAUCUAAAUUAUCUGAAGCAUGCUUAAUAUUUGGUGGCCACAGUUUCCUCCUGGAGACGUGUAGAGAAGAAAGUGUGCCUUUGAAGAUCCCUACUGCUUAGGUUUCAGAAGAGAUUGAACAAAAUUUUAACCUCCACAAAUAAUUAUUUCCAAAACAAUGGCUAACAUUUUUUUUUAUGGAGUCUCGCUCUGUUGCAGGUGCAAUGACGUGAUCUUGGUUCACUGCAACCUCUGCCUCCCAGGUUCAAGCAAUUCUCCUGCCUCAGCCUCCUUAAUAGCUGUGAUUACAGGCAUGCACCCCCACACCCAGCUAAUUUUUUUAUUUUUAGUAGAGAUGGAGUUUUGCCGUGUUGGCUAGGUUGGUUUCAAACUCCUGGCCUUAGGUGAUCUGCCUGUUUCGGCCUCCUAAAGUGCUGGGAUGACAGGUGUGAGUCACCAUUCCCACCCUCUUCCUGUUAAGGUUUACGAACUUCCCCCAAUAAUGAAUCUUCUUUUCAAACUACUUUAUCAGUGAGAACUGUGGUUCUCUUCUGUCAUAGAGAGUGCCUGCGUUUU